This 1346-nucleotide ribosomal RNA is filed under the name uncultured bacterium. RNAcentral's name for it is "partial 16S ribosomal RNA". It matches the Rfam family "Bacterial small subunit ribosomal RNA", at positions 28 to 1381 of the family's 1533-position model. The record is from RNAcentral.
GACGAACGCUGGCGGCGUGCUUAACACAUGCAAGUCGAACGGAAAGGCCCUGCUUUUGUGGGGUGCUCGAGUGGCGAACGGGUGAGUAACACGUGAGUAACCUGCCCUUGACUUUGGGAUAACUUCAGGAAACUGGGGCUAAUACCGGAUAGGAGCUCCUGCUGCAUGGUGGGGGUUGGAAAGUUUCGGCGGUUGGGGAUGGACUCGCGGCUUAUCAGCUUGUUGGUGGGGUAGUGGCUUACCAAGGCUUUGACGGGUAGCCGGCCUGAGAGGGUGACCGGCCACAUUGGGACUGAGAUACGGCCCAGGCUCCUACGGGAGGCAGCAGUGGGGAAUAUUGCACAAUGGGCGGAAGCCUGAUGCAGCAACGCCGCGUGCGGGAUGACGGCCUUCGGGUUGUAAACCGCUUUCGCCUGUGACGAAGCGUGAGUGACGGUAAUGGGUAAAGAAGCACCGGCUAACUACGUGCCAGCAGCCGCGGUGAUACGUAGGGUGCGAGCGUUGUCCGGAUUUAUUGGGCGUAAAGGGCUCGUAGGUGGUUGAUCGCGUCGGAAGUGUAAUCUUGGGGCUUAACCCUGAGCGUGCUUUCGAUACGGGUUGACUUGAGGAAGGUAGGGGAGAAUGGAAUUCCUGGUGGAGCGGUGGAAUGCGCAGAUAUCAGGAGGAACACCAGUGGCGAAGGCGGUUCUCUGGGCCUUUCCUGACGCUGAGGAGCGAAAGCGUGGGGAGCGAACAGGCUUAGAUACCCUGGUAGUCCACGCUGUAAACGGUGGGUACUAGGUGUGGGGUCCAUUCCACGGGUUCCGUGCCGUAGCUAACGCUUUAAGUACCCCGCCUGGGGAGUACGGCCGCAAGGCUAAAACUCAAAGGAAUUGACGGGGCCCCGCACAAGCGGCGGAGCAUGCGGAUUAAUUCGAUGCAACGCGUAGAACCUUACCUGGGUUUGACAUGGAUCGGGAGUGCUCAGAGAUGGGUGUGCCUCUUUUGGGGUCGGUUCACAGGUGGUGCAUGCCUGUCGUCAGCUCGUGUCGUGAGAUGUUGGGUUAAGUCCCGCAACGAGCGCAACCCUUGUUCACUGUUGCCAGCACGUUAUGGUGGGGACUCAGUGGAGACCGCCGGGGUCAACUCGGAGGAAGGUGGGGAUGACGUCAAGUCAUCAUGCCCCUUAUGUCCAGGGCUUCACGCAUGCUACAAUGGCUGGUACAGAGAGUGGCGAGCCUGUGAGGGUGAGCGAAUCUCGGAAAGCCGGUCUCAGUUCGGAUUGGGGUCUGCAACUCGACCUCAUGAAGUCGGAGUCGCUAGUAAUCGCAGAUCAGCAACGCUGCGGUGAAUACGUUCCCGGGGCU